RNAcentral lists this ribosomal RNA (1832 nucleotides) under Pectobacterium brasiliense. RNAcentral describes it as "bacterial LSU rRNA". It matches the Rfam family "Bacterial large subunit ribosomal RNA", at positions 902 to 2712 of the family's 2925-position model. Lineage: Bacteria; Pseudomonadati; Pseudomonadota; Gammaproteobacteria; Enterobacterales; Pectobacteriaceae. The record is from RNAcentral.
GUAGAGCACUGUUUCGGCUAGGGGGUCAUCCCGACUUACCAACCCGAUGCAAACUACGAAUACCGAAGAAUGUUAUCACGGGAGACACACGGCGGGUGCUAACGUUCGUCGUGAAGAGGGAAACAACCCAGACCGCCAGCUAAGGUCCCAAAGUCAUGGUUAAGUGGGAAACGAUGUGGGAAGGCAUAGACAGCCAGGAUGUUGGCUUAGAAGCAGCCAUCAUUUAAAGAAAGCGUAAUAGCUCACUGGUCGAGUCGGCCUGCGCGGAAGAUGUAACGGGGCUAAACCAUGCACCGAAGCUGCGGCAGCGACACUUAGGUGUUGUUGGGUAGGGGAGCGUUCUGUAAGCCUGCGAAGGUGGCCUGUGAGGGCUGCUGGAGGUAUCAGAAGUGCGAAUGCUGACAUAAGUAACGAUAAUGCGGGUGAAAAACCCGCACGCCGGAAGACCAAGGGUUCCUGUCCAACGUUAAUCGGGGCAGGGUGAGUCGACCCCUAAGGCGAGGCUGAAAAGCGUAGUCGAUGGGAAACAGGUUAAUAUUCCUGUACUCGGUGUUACUGCGAAGGGGGGACGGAGAAAGCUAGGUUAUCCGGGCGACGGUUGUCCCGGUUUAAGCGUGAAGGUGGAUGACUUUGGUAAAUCCGGGUCAUCGUUAACACUGAGGCGUGAUGACGAGUCACUACGGUGAUGAAGUAACCGAUGCUACGCUUCCAGGAAAAGCCUCUAAGCUCCAGGUAACAUCAAAUCGUACCCCAAACCGACACAGGUGGUCAGGUAGAGAAUACUCAGGCGCUUGAGAGAACUCGGGUGAAGGAACUAGGCAAAAUGGUGCCGUAACUUCGGGAGAAGGCACGCUGAUGGUAGGUGAAGUGACUUGCUCAUGGAGCUGAAAUCAGUCGAAGAUACCAGCUGGCUGCAACUGUUUAAUAAAAACACAGCACUGUGCAAACACGAAAGUGGACGUAUACGGUGUGACGCCUGCCCGGUGCCGGAAGGUUAAUUGAUGGGGUCAGCCGCAAGGCGAAGCUCUUGAUCGAAGCCCCGGUAAACGGCGGCCGUAACUAUAACGGUCCUAAGGUAGCGAAAUUCCUUGUCGGGUAAGUUCCGACCUGCACGAAUGGCGUAAUGAUGGCCAGGCUGUCUCCACCCGAGACUCAGUGAAAUUGAACUCGCUGUGAAGAUGCAGUGUACCCGCGGCAAGACGGAAAGACCCCGUGAACCUUUACUAUAGCUUGACACUGAACCUUGAGCCUUGAUGUGUAGGAUAGGUGGGAGGCUUUGAAGCGUGGACGCCAGUCUGCGUGGAGCCAACCUUGAAAUACCACCCUUUAAUGUUUGAUGUUCUAACGUGGACCCGUGAUCCGGGUUGCGGACAGUGUCUGGUGGGUAGUUUGACUGGGGCGGUCUCCUCCCAAAGCGUAACGGAGGAGCACGAAGGUUAGCUAAUCCUGGUCGGACAUCAGGAGGUUAGUGCAAAGGCAUAAGCUAGCUUGACUGCGAGAGUGACAGCUCGAGCAGGUGCGAAAGCAGGUCUUAGUGAUCCGGUGGUUCUGAAUGGAAGGGCCAUCGCUCAACGGAUAAAAGGUACUCCGGGGAUAACAGGCUGAUACCGCCCAAGAGUUCAUAUCGACGGCGGUGUUUGGCACCUCGAUGUCGGCUCAUCACAUCCUGGGGCUGAAGUAGGUCCCAAGGGUAUGGCUGUUCGCCAUUUAAAGUGGUACGCGAGCUGGGUUUAGAACGUCGUGAGACAGUUCGGUCCCUAUCUGCCGUGGGCGUUGGAAGAUUGAGAGGGGUUGCUCCUAGUACGAGAGGACCGGAGUGAACGCACCACUGG